CACUAUGAUGCGGUAAUUUGCGAUUGACACAGUCUCUGUGAGGCCCUCGCCGGGGCACUCGAUACAGAACUGGCGCAUGAUAUUCCUUUCUUACAUAUUCUGAUA
Molecule: small nucleolar RNA, 105 nt
Filed under: Penicilliopsis zonata CBS 506.65
Lineage: Eukaryota; Fungi; Ascomycota; Eurotiomycetes; Eurotiales; Aspergillaceae
Description: A. fumigatus snoRNA Afu_514
Rfam family: A. fumigatus snoRNA Afu_514
Source: Rfam by way of RNAcentral